CCUCCCCCGCGCAUCCCGUCGACCCCGCCGCCACCUCUGCCCGCUCCCCGCAUCUCGCCCGUCCUGGCACCGAAUGCGCACACUUCCGCGCGGUUCCCGUCCUCCCCCUCCCCUCCCCCGCGCAGCCCGCAGGCACGCCGACCCCGUCGUCACAGCUGCCCCCUCCCCCACCUCCCCCGUCAUGGCGCCGCACGCGCACACCUCAGCGUAGUAUCCUAACUAAUUUUGCUGCGCGCCGCUGCCCCCCGAACUCGCCGCCACCGCAUGCGCCCAGCUACAAAGGUCAUCUCUUCGUGCCAUUUUGUUGUGCGGGAUCGACUUCCUCCUUCGCAGCCUUCUCCUUGGCUCGGCCAUGGUCUGUGCCACCGAGGUCAUCUCUGGAGUGUGCGGAGCUCUGGAGAGUGCUUGAAACGCAGUGAUUUGCCAGUUUCCAUUCCAAAUACCAGCAAGGAUAACACAUUUCUUGGUAUUUUCUAGAGCAGUUGGGACGAAAGGAUACGGCUUUGGAGCUGGGAAGGACAGUUGCUUAACCAUAAAAAUCAGCCCAUGCUCACUGAAUCUGUUUACUUCUGUUUGCAUUGAUUUCAUAGCAUCGUUUCUGUACAAAACCUUCUACAUGUAAAGAGCUUUAAUGUUAUGGUUGGUAAGCGGCUUUACCAUUUAACUGCAGGGAGGGCAGGUCGACGAGGAGGAGGGGAGAGGGGUCUUCUUCUCCAUAUAGGCUACUGGCCACCACUCGAUUCUACUGGUCUGAUUUGUGAACUGAGAAGUUCCGCAGCUUGUAAGGGAAUAUAACACUUAAAGUGGAUUGACAAGAGAGUAAGGAGGGUCCAGCUAGGAGGUAAGCAUUGCCUUCUAUGCAAACCAGGCAGUGAUUAAUUUGAACCUGUAUCAAGAUAUAUGUAGUGUGAGCAUUUGAAUAUGUAUUGCUUUUAUUUGAAAAUGUAAAGCACAUUACAGUGUAUACCUAAUUCCGUCUAUGUUUAUAGUGGCCUCUAUGAUAGUCUAAUUGUCGAGGAUCUGCUCUUUCCUAUCUUAGAAAAAGUUUCAUGAUAGGAAAGAGAACACACGGUUGCAUAAAGCCAAACUAAAACUUUUUACUGUACUA
Molecule: long non-coding RNA, 1108 nt
Organism: Phragmites australis (common reed)
Lineage: Eukaryota; Viridiplantae; Streptophyta; Magnoliopsida; Poales; Poaceae
Exons: 4
Source: RefSeq, a predicted model, not a curated record